This 274-nucleotide ribosomal RNA is filed under the name uncultured bacterium. Its description in RNAcentral is "partial 16S ribosomal RNA". It matches the Rfam family "Bacterial small subunit ribosomal RNA", at positions 523 to 796 of the family's 1533-position model. The record is from RNAcentral.
ACACGGAGGGUGCGAGCGUUGUUCGGAAUCACUGGGCGUAAAGCGGGUGUAGGCGGUCUAGCAAGUCAGAUGUGAAAGUCCAGGGCUCAACCCUGGAAGUGCAUCUGAAACUGUUAGACUUGAGUACUCGAGAGGGAAGUGGAAUUCCUGGUGUAGGGGUGAAAUCCGUAGAUAUCAGGAGGAGCACCGGUGGCGAAGGCGACUUCCUGGACAGAUACUGACGCUCAGACCCGAAAGCGUGGGGAGCAAACAGCAUUAGAUACCCCUGUAGUCC